This 1052-nucleotide long non-coding RNA is filed under the name Nicotiana benthamiana. Its description in RNAcentral is "long non-coding RNA (NBEN_LNC019618)". Lineage: Eukaryota; Viridiplantae; Streptophyta; Magnoliopsida; Solanales; Solanaceae. The record is from RNAcentral.
CUGAUGUCUGUGAUUUUCUCCUCUCUCGUCCCUAUCACGAGAUUUGGUCAAGCGAAAGGGACAAAGAACUUUUGAAGAAAUCUGCAGGUUUGGCUCUAUUCAAACAGCUAUAUUCUUUUCAUUUUUUUCAUAAAAAUCUCUUCUCUUUGCUGUGGUAUUCAUGGUGGACAAUCAAUUCUUUGGUCCUUUGUCAAUUCAAAAUUCAACUGAUGAAUUUAUCUUCUCUGUUCAAAAUUCAAACGACACUUUUUAAUUCCCGCUCUUCAAAACGCUAGCUUCUUGGUCUAUAAAGAUUCUCUUAUGGAGCUCACAAAAGGGAGGUUUUGGACCGCCCCUUUUACCCCAAAAUUGAUGGUUGUUACCGACCUUCUCACCCUAGACUUUGUUCGAAGCCGCUGCCUCUCUCUUUAAACACAAGCUUCAACUGCCUCUAUCCCUUGAAACUUAUUGUUCUUCUUCUAAAAAUUCUAGCUUGCUUUCUUACUCCUCCUUCCCCGUUUACUCCUAGCAAUACUCUUCAUUUUUUGGCGAUUUGUUGCAUUUCGGGUUAGCGGAUUCGAGGAAUGAGAUAAUAGUCCCUUGACUCUCACCCAUGUUUGCUGCACAUUUUGUUAAGAUUCUUAUGUUCGGUAACUAUUUUGUAGAGCUGGUAGUUGCUACGGCAUGUUAGUUAAAAUUCCCUUCCAUAUUGCAAACUCGUUUUGAGGUAGAAACUUGUCUAGCCAUUCAAAAAAUAAGGUAUCUUUGCUGAAUUGGAAAACUUCUUGUGUGACUCUGUAUUUUGUCCCGGGCCCGGGCCUAAACGUGGUUUCGCGGGCUGGGCUUUGUGGGUCUGAGCUCUGGUGGUCUCGGGUUUCGUGGGCUCAUUGUGUGAGACCAACCCAUGAUGAGCCUAAGCCCAUGUGGUCCUGGGCUUAGGGGGACGGGUUUCGUGUGCCUGGCGGGCUUUUUUGUAAUCUUUUUGUUUAAGGCAAUAUCUUGUAUAGUAACAACAACAACAACUAUCCAGUAUAGUCUCACAAAGUGGGGUCUGGGGAGGGUAAUAUGUANNN